UGUUGGUUCUCCCGCAACGCUACUCUGUUUACCAGGUCAGGUCCGGAAGGAAGCAGCCAGAGCAGGCGACGUGUGUGCCGGGAUGUAGCUGGCAGGG
This 97-nucleotide signal recognition particle RNA is filed under the name Klebsiella aerogenes. RNAcentral describes it as "signal recognition particle sRNA small type". It matches the Rfam family "Bacterial small signal recognition particle RNA". From Rfam's summary of the family: The signal recognition particle (SRP) is a universally conserved ribonucleoprotein involved in the co-translational targeting of proteins to membranes. Archaeal SRP consists of a 7S RNA and homologues of the eukaryotic SRP19 and SRP54 proteins. The record is from RNAcentral. RNAcentral also lists the same sequence under 2 other names. Lineage: Bacteria; Pseudomonadati; Pseudomonadota; Gammaproteobacteria; Enterobacterales; Enterobacteriaceae.